Arabidopsis thaliana (thale cress) is the source of this 136-nucleotide non-coding RNA. NCBI's taxonomy places the organism in Eukaryota, Viridiplantae, Streptophyta, Magnoliopsida, Brassicales, Brassicaceae. The record is from Rfam.
CGAUGAAAGUAGCAGGACAAUGGAACAUAUCAAUUGAUUUUUUGUCGACUCCAAAUUUUGACAUUUAGUUAAGCGUGCUUGGGCGAGAGUAGUACUAGGAUGGGUGACCUCCCGGGAAGUCCUCGUGUUGCAUCCC